This 591-nucleotide ribosomal RNA is filed under the name uncultured Bacteroidota bacterium. RNAcentral's name for it is "bacterial SSU rRNA". It matches the Rfam family "Bacterial small subunit ribosomal RNA", at positions 125 to 715 of the family's 1533-position model. The record is from RNAcentral. Lineage: Bacteria; Pseudomonadati; Bacteroidota.
CCUGCCGCUUACUCGGGGAUAGCCUUUCGAAAGAAAGAUUAAUACCCGAUGGUAUAAGGAGUUCNCAUGUUCUCUUUAUUAAAGAAUUUCGGUAAGCGAUGGGGAUGCGUUCCAUUAGAUAGUUGGCGGGGUAACGGCCCACCAAGUCUACGAUGGAUAGGGGUUCUGAGAGGAAGGUCCCCCACAUUGGAACUGAGACACGGUCCAAACUCCUACGGGAGGCAGCAGUGAGGAAUAUUGGUCAAUGGACGAGAGUCUGAACCAGCCAAGUAGCGUGAAGGAUGACUGCCCUAUGGGUUGUAAACUUCUUUUAUAAGGGAAUAAAGUGAGGGACGUGUCCCUUUUUGUAUGUACCUUAUGAAUAAGGAUCGGCUAACUCCGUGCCAGCAGCCGCGGUAAUACGGAGGAUCCAAGCGUUAUCCGGAUUUAUUGGGUUUAAAGGGAGCGUAGGUUGACAUAUAAGUCAGCUGUGAAAGUUUACGGCUCAACCGUGAGAUUGCAGUUGAUACUGUAUGUCUUGAGUGUACAAGAGGUGGGCGGAAUUCGUGGUGUAGCGGUGAAAUGCUUAGAUAUCACGAAGAACUCCGAUUG